This 414-nucleotide long non-coding RNA is filed under the name Ananas comosus (pineapple). RNAcentral describes it as "long non-coding RNA (ACOM_LNC007053)". Lineage: Eukaryota; Viridiplantae; Streptophyta; Magnoliopsida; Poales; Bromeliaceae. The record is from RNAcentral.
GACAUUAUGGUUCAGUUGGUUCUAUGUUAUUUGGAUACACGUGGUUUGUGAAAUUAAUGAAGUACUUAUGAAUUUCAUAGGAAAUUAUGAAAUUAGUUUUCUAUCCCUCGUGGUAGUGUGUUUUUAAAGGAAAAGGGUUUUUGUGUGGGAAAUAGUUUUAAAAAGUAUUUUCUGAUUUUCAUGAAUCUUAGUAUUUCAAAAUAAGUUUUCGAGUGAAAAACAUUUUAAAUUGAUAGAUAUAGAAUUAUGAAUAUCAUAUGGUAAACUUGUGAUGGAAUGAAUGUGAUGUGGUGAUUGUAUGUGGAUGAUUAUACUAUGUGGUUGUAUUUUGUACUUGUGUGACGUCGUGUAAAUGUAAGAGAGACUCUGUCCGUGUGAACAGUGAAUUUUCUGUAUUUGUGGCGGAUCUGACGU